GUGGGCACUUGUGCAGAUUGUCCUGAUGAGGAGGAUCAUUAAUCCCAGUUGCUUGCUGAGGGACAGAGGACCCUGCCUGGCAGCAGGAAGCAGAUUUAGGUCUGCAGCGCCUGGGUAAAUGAUAAAUGAACUCACUAGCUGACAGGUUGAAUGAACUAACCCUGUUUGCAGUUCUGCUAGUUAAAAGUCAGCCAGGAGGGAAAACCUGAAUGCUUAUGAGGGAGUGGGCGUAUUAGUGAAGGCUGGACUAACGAGGAUUGGAAACUCUGUGAAACAAAAGAAAAGGCUUCUUGCAGUCAGAUUGCAGUUCCGGUCUCCUGAUCAUCCGCUCAAGAAAAAAUUGUUGUCACGGCUGGCUGAAGGACUGGACCAAGGUGCAGCAUGGCACACUGUCUUUAUACGAUCAGCCAUGGAUACCACCAGACACCCAAAGUCCAUUUCUCAGUUCCUAUGACCUCUUGUAAGCGCCGUUGAUGUCCUGAUGUCUUGAUAGCAUUUGAUCAACAUGUCCUUGAGAAGUGUAACCCUGCUUGGAAAGAAGGUGCAACACCCAUGUGUCCUGAUUCAACAGACCUUUGAUUGAUGAUCAAUGAAUUAAUGUCCCACUUCAAUAUGAAGGGACAGAGGAGUGAACAUGCCUUUGCUACCACUCGUGUGUUCUCCAUUGUAAUUGUUUUUGCAAGCCCUCUUGAAAGUCCAAAAUAUGCCCCUGACCGCCAGGGUGGAGGAGGAGUUACUCUUUUUUGAAGACAUCUCUAAGCUAUAACUGACACAAGCUUCUUCAACUAGUACCAUGGAAAUAUUUUUAGCCACAACGUCCACAAAGUUUCUUCAGGAAUGUCCUUUUCUAGUUUUCUUUUAAAAUCUCAAAUUGGUGAAGUUGUAAUUUACUGAUUCUCUUCACUGCAGAUCUGACCCAUCGCACCACUUUUAUUAAUCAACAACCUGCCUUUAUAUACUCUGUGUCCCAGUCUUUCUAUCCAUGUCAUGUCUGUGGGUGAAUUAUGAAACAAUUACUGUACGCAGAUGUGCCAAAAAUUGUGAUGUAGAAUUGUUUUUGCUAUUUCUUGAUCUUUACUGAACAAUAAUCUAAAAGCAACAUGUAAAGUGUUGAUCCCAUGUUUCAUGAGCUGAAAAAGAAGAUCCCAGAAAUGUUCAUUACGCACAAAAAG
Molecule: long non-coding RNA, 1172 nt
Organism: Oncorhynchus kisutch (coho salmon)
Lineage: Eukaryota; Metazoa; Chordata; Actinopteri; Salmoniformes; Salmonidae
Exons: 7
Source: RefSeq, a predicted model, not a curated record